GACGAACGCUGGCGGCGUGCUUAACACAUGCCAGUCGAACGGAAAGGCCCUGCUUUUGUGGGGUGCUCGAGUGGCGAACGGGUGAGUAACACGUGAGUAACCUGCCCUUGACUUUGGGAUAACUUCAGGAAACUGGGGCUAAUACCGGAUAGGAGCUCCUGCUGCAUGGUGGGGGUUGGAAAGUUUCGGCGGUUGGGGAUGGACUCGCGGCUUAUCAGCUUGUUGGUGGGGUAGUGGCUUACCAAGGCUUUGACGGGUAGCCGGCCUGAGAGGGUGACCGGCCACAUUAGGACUGAGAUACGGCCCAGACUCCUACGGGAGGCAGCAGUGGGGAAUAUUGCACAAUGAGCGGAAGCCUGAUGCAGCAACGCCGCGUGCGGGAUGACGGCCUUCGGGUUGUAAACCGCUUUCGCCUGUGACGAAGCGUGAGUGACGGUAAUGGGUAAAGAAGCACCGGCUAACUACGUG
RNAcentral lists this ribosomal RNA (468 nucleotides) under uncultured bacterium. Its description in RNAcentral is "partial 16S ribosomal RNA". It matches the Rfam family "Bacterial small subunit ribosomal RNA", at positions 28 to 507 of the family's 1533-position model. The record is from RNAcentral.